RNAcentral lists this long non-coding RNA (261 nucleotides) under Mytilus galloprovincialis (Mediterranean mussel). Lineage: Eukaryota; Metazoa; Mollusca; Bivalvia; Mytilida; Mytilidae. The record is from RNAcentral.
GGAGGGCAAAAGACUUUGGAUUAAUAUCUAUCCAUGGCCUUUCAAAUGCACUAGGCAAUGAGUGAUCAUACACACACUUAUUGUUAUCCAUGCCUUUACCGGUUGUGAUAUGGUUCUCUCUUUGCUUGAAAAGAAAAAAAAAGACUGCGUGGGAGACAUUGAUGGCAUUUGAAGAUGUGACUUUAACAUAAAGAAUGAUGAUUGAUCAGCCUAAAUCACCGGGGUUUUACUGUAAGAUCGCACACACUUAACAGAUGGGUA